RNA transcript from Rosa chinensis, 1167 nucleotides. RefSeq lists it as uncharacterized. The record is from RefSeq and is a predicted model, not a curated record. NCBI's taxonomy places the organism in Eukaryota, Viridiplantae, Streptophyta, Magnoliopsida, Rosales, Rosaceae. The transcript has 3 exons.
CUGGCACCACUGUCUCCUUCUCUUCCUUCUACUCUUCUCUACACUCCUUACAAUCCCCUUCGCCCUUUUCUCCAAUAAAUCCUAAAACCCUAACCCUAGUUUCCUCCACUUGUAAAUACCCAAUACCCUGUUUUCCAUUUUCUUCCUUAUAUAUAUAUAUAUAGAUAUAUAAACACAACACCAAAAUUCACUUCACUGAUCACUCUCCCAACCUCACUCCAAUCCCAAACACCAUGUUGCUACUACAGUUCACUUCCAACUCCAUACCCUUUCUCUGCUUCCUCUUACUGCUCCCGAUCAUGACCAUUAGCUCCGAUUCGUCCGUCUACGACGUCCUCCUGGCCCACGGCCUUCCGAUGGGGCUGCUGCCUAAGGGUGUGACUCAGUUCGAAAUCGACGAGGGCGGCCGGUUCCAGGUGUACCUGGAUCAGGCCUGCAAUGCCAAGUUCGAGAGUGAGUUGCAUUACGACAGGAACGUGUCUGGGACUCUCAGUUACGGCCGGAUCGGAGCCUUGUCGGGUAUUUCGGCCCAGGAGCUCUUUCUCUGGUUUCCGGUCAAGGGUAUUCGGGUCGAUGUCCCCAGCUCCGGCAUCAUUUACUUCGAUGUCGGCGUUGUUUUUAAGCAAUUCUCGCUUUCGCUAUUCGAAACACCGCCGGAUUGUACUGCUGCCACCCCCGCCGCCCAGGCUGAUGUCGGCGGCGGCGGCGGCAGGCUCAUCGUUGACACCGUUUCCAAGAGUAAAUCGGGCAAACUGCGGUAUGGUCUCGAUCAGGAGCAACAUUUUGGGAGAGGUUUUGAGUAGGAAUUUUGGGGGAGAAAUGUGAGUUAGAAUUGUGGGUUAUACACAGAGAGUCUGGGUUAUGGGUUAGUGUGGUUGCUUGCGUUGUUUUAAGUUUUUAAUGGCCGGUGAAUUCGAUUCGAACCAGAGAUUGGACGAGGCAGAGAGAGAGAGCUAUUACAAAAGAUUUGAAGACCAAAUCAGGUAUAAACCUUGAAGGGCUCUGUUUCCAUUGUCAGAGAGUUUGAGCAGAGGUUUUGUUCCACCAGUUCUUACCAAUUUUUGCUUUGCUUUGUUUUUCUAGUUAACUCUGACAGGUUCUGGGGUUUUGGGUUUUCGCUUCUGUUUUUUCUUCUCGUCCGAGGCUUGUUCUUAUUUACUUUCCACG